Molecule: ribosomal RNA, 253 nt
Filed under: uncultured bacterium
Lineage: Bacteria
Description: partial 16S ribosomal RNA
Rfam family: Bacterial small subunit ribosomal RNA
Source: RNAcentral
GACGUAGGAGGCGAGCGUUGUCCGGAUUCAUUGGGCGUAAAGAGCACGCAGGCGGUUUGGCAAGUCGGAUGUGAAAACCCGGAGCUCAACUCCGGACCUGCAUCCGAAACUGCCCGCCUAGAGGUAGGUAGGGGAGAUCGGAAUUCCUGGUGUAGCGGUGAAAUGCGCAGAUAUCAGGAGGAACACCGGUGGCGAAGGCGGAUCUCUGGGCCUUACCUGACGCUCAGGUGCGAAAGCUAGGGGAGCGAACAGG